RNAcentral lists this ribosomal RNA (766 nucleotides) under Staphylococcus aureus. RNAcentral's name for it is "bacterial SSU rRNA". It matches the Rfam family "Bacterial small subunit ribosomal RNA", at positions 28 to 776 of the family's 1533-position model. Lineage: Bacteria; Bacillati; Bacillota; Bacilli; Caryophanales; Staphylococcaceae. The record is from RNAcentral.
GAUGAACGCUGGCGGCGUGCCUAAUACAUGCAAGUCGAGCGAACGGACGAGAAGCUUGCUUCUCUGAUGUUAGCGGCGGACGGGUGAGUAACACGUGGAUAACCUACCUAUAAGACUGGGAUAACUUCGGGAAACCGGAGCUAAUACCGGAUAAUAUUUUGAACCGCAUGGUUCAAAAGUGAAAGACGGUCUCGCUGUCACUUAUAGAUGGAUCCGCGCUGCAUUAGCUAGUUGGUAAGGUAACGGCUUACCAAGGCAACGAUGCAUAGCCGACCUGAGAGGGUGAUCGGCCACACUGGAACUGAGACACGGUCCAGACUCCUACGGGAGGCAGCAGUAGGGAAUCUUCCGCAAUGGGCGAAAGCCUGACGGAGCAACGCCGCGUGAGUGAUGAAGGUCUUCGGAUCGUAAAACUCUGUUAUUAGGGAAGAACAUAUGUGUAAGUAACUGUGCACAUCUUGACGGUACCUAAUCAGAAAGCCACGGCUAACUACGUGCCAGCAGCCGCGGUAAUACGUAGGUGGCAAGCGUUAUCCGGAAUUAUUGGGCGUAAAGCGCGCGUAGGCGGUUUUUUAAGUCUGAUGUGAAAGCCCACGGCUCAACCGUGGAGGGUCAUUGGAAACUGGAAAACUUGAGUGCAGAAGAGGAAAGUGGAAUUCCAUGUGUAGUGGUGAAAUGCGCAGAGAUAUGGAGGAACACCAGUGGCGAAGGCGACUUUCUGGUCUGUAACUGACGCUGAUGUGCGAAAGCGUGGGGAUCAAACAGG